CGAGCGGGCGAGCGGGCGAGCGGGCGGGCGAGCCGCGGCGCUGCAGGAGGCGGUCCGGGAAGCCCCGGCAGGUAUCUCUUGGUGGGCACUGCGAAGGACUGCGAAGGACGGUCCCCGCGCCCCGAGAGGGACGAGCGAGCCGCCCCCGCCGAGGAGCUGCCCCGACGGCCCUGCUGAAGAAUGAAUGGUGCCCCUCAGCCCGGCCUUCCCCAGAGAGGACCUGCCUGCCUGCCUGCCGGCGGCCCACGCUGAGGUACAGCACCGUCUCGAGCCCUUACCAGGUUUUGACCUGAGAGGAAUGACAGCGUCAGCGAGUUGGUUUCGAGUAUAUAAGCUUUACUUCACACUUAUGUCAAAGCAGCACCAAGCAUAAGCAGACAACCCUGAGAACCACGGACAGGAGGGAGGCUCACAGCAGGCUACCUCUCCUCCUGAGGGCCCGCUGUGGUGGAGUCCCCCUCAGAAGGGCGAGCCGCACUCAGGUUAGCGGAGGAGAGUGCAGGACAUAGAGUCGUGGUGCGCUCUAAAGUUCCCAGUUCUGAGCGGGUCCUUAAAUAGUUCGCUAAAUCGUGCUAAUCUCACUUUGCCUCACUUCACACAUUCUCACUCUUACCUACAACGGCCUCCCUCGCAGUGGGCCUGCGCUCCCUUUCCUUUACUCUCCCUCCAGCCAGGCCUUUGCCUGCCUGCUGACAAGGCCUGCCAGUCUCCCUGGGCCCUCACUCCUUCCUCCAUCAGCCCUGGAACCAGCCGCUCCUCUCCAUAGGCUAGCAAUGUGAAGAACAAAACCAAGCCCUCCCCACGCCCACCCCUUGUCUUUUUUCUUGUCUUUUUUUUUUUGGCCCAAACUCACUAUGUAUCACAAGGUAGCCUUGAACUUGGGAUCCUCUUGCCUCAGCUUCACAGCUGGCACCCAGACAUUUAAGAGUUCUUUUAUCAUUUCCUCUCCAAUCAGGAAGGAAUUAUGAUUUAGGGUUAUUUUCAGAAACCUAACAGAAAAUGAAAAGGGAAUGAGCUUCCAGGUUGGUUUAUUUAUUUAUUUAUUUAUUUAUUUAUUUAUUUUUAUUAAGUAGAUUGAGGGGGAGGAUCCUUGAAAUGAGCCUGUUAAUCCUGAAGUCUCACUGUGGCACUGGACUUUCCUCCUGCUGCCCUAGUGUGUCCCCAGUAGGAGCUGGCCCUGCCGUCCUAGUACAGCAGGCACAGGACCUUUCCAGGGUUUUACAGCAUGAAUUGUGGGUUACAAAUGCAGCAGGAAUACUUGCAGAACUUUUACCGAAACACACGGCUAUUGAGGCAUUCACUUCUGUAUGGAAGUAUGCAUAUUGGUGUCGGUUUCUUUGUACAGGUGUGCUUAGAUAUUUUUUUAUGAUUUUUCAUGUGCAAGUAUCAAGGUUUGAAGUUUUAGUUAAAAAAAAAGAAAUGUUUUGUAGAUUACAUUCCCCCAAAAAACAAUGCUUACACACAAUGUAUAUUCCACGUUUUAAAGCUGAGAUGUGUUCACUUUACAUACUUAAGUUGACAUAGAACACUUAGAGUUAAUCUGGUAUUUUUGACUUCUCAAAGCUAAAAGAAAUAGAUUUUUUAGGUUUGACAUGGUUGUGUCAUAAUCAUCUCGUAAUUGACAAUUUUGCUUUGGGGCAAUAAAAGGAAAUUGGGAUAUCUUUGAACUGAAAAAAAAAAGAGAGAAAGAAAUACAGCAGGAAAGCCAGAUACCAUGUACACGUGUAAUCCCCAGCCCUGUGGAGAUGGAAGCAGGAGGGGUCAAGAGUUGAUGAUUAGGGCUGGCAGGUGGCUCACUGGGGAAAGGCUGCCAAGCCAGCUAACCUGAAUUCGAUUCCUGAAAUCCAUGUGGUGGAAAGAGAAUCUGUUCCCCCUAGUUGUCCUCUGAACUCCAAAGGCACAGAGUGAAAAAGUUCAAGGUCAUCUUCAGUUACUUGGUGAGUUUAAAAUACUAGAAUUUAGAGUGAACUUACUUUUUUUUUUUUUUUUUUUUUUUGGUGUUUUGAGACGGUUUCUCUGUGCAGCCCUGGCUGUCCUGGCACUCGAUCUGUGGACCAGGCUGGCCUCAAACUCAUAGAGAGCCUCCUGCCUCCCAAGUGCUCAGACUAAUGAACGUUUUAUGUCUGCUCAACUCCACCACGCUUGACCAUAGUAAAACGCCCCUUCUUUGCCACAUUCUCUGGCAGACAGCACUGUGUUCAGUCACCUCUCCCAUUACACAUUUAACAUGAACCCAGAAACCAUUUGUCUGAGGAAUGGAUCCUGAUUUUUUUUUUUUUUUGAUAAAGUGGCACCUCGCUAUGUAGCCCUGGCUGUCUUGACACUUAACAGGUAGAUUAGGCCAGCCUCAAACUAACAAAUUUGCAUUCCUCUACUUCCCAAGUGCUGGGAUUACAGGUAUGUGUCACUAUACCCAACUGAAGCAGUGAUUCUAAUAAAUUUCAGGUCCUGCCAGGCGGUGGUGGUUCACUCCAUUAAUCCCAGCACUCGGGAGGCAGAGGCAGGUGGAUCUCUGUGAGUUUGAGACCAGCCUGGUUUACAGAGUGAGUUCCAGGAAGAGCCAGGGCUGUUACACAGAGAAACUCUGUCUUGAAAAAUCAUUAAAACCAAACAAACAAAAAACCC
This 2625-nucleotide long non-coding RNA is filed under the name Cricetulus griseus (Chinese hamster). Its description in RNAcentral is "lncRNA (ENSCGRG00015038552.1)". Lineage: Eukaryota; Metazoa; Chordata; Mammalia; Rodentia; Cricetidae. The record is from RNAcentral.